This 358-nucleotide ribosomal RNA is filed under the name Oenococcus oeni. Its description in RNAcentral is "bacterial LSU rRNA". It matches the Rfam family "Bacterial large subunit ribosomal RNA", at positions 412 to 771 of the family's 2925-position model. The record is from RNAcentral. Lineage: Bacteria; Bacillati; Bacillota; Bacilli; Lactobacillales; Lactobacillaceae.
GUACGGCCCAGCACGUGAAAUUGGGUCGGAAUCUGGGAGGACCAUCUCCCAAGGCUAAAUACUAACUAGUGACCGAUAGCGAACAAGUACCGUGAGGGAAAGGUGAAAAGAACCCCGGAAGGGGAGUGAAAUAGUUCUUGAAACCGUGUGCUUACAAGAAGUUCGAGGCCGUUAAUGGCUGAGAGCGUGCUUUUUGUAGAAUGAACCGGAGAGUUACGAUUGCGUGCAAGGUUAAGGUGCAAAGACUGGAGCCGUAGCGAAAGCGAGUCUUAAUAGGGCGAAUCAGUACGUAGUUGUAGACCCGAAACCGAGUGACCUAUCCAUGGUCAGGUUGAAGGUGGGGUAAUACCUACUGGAG